This 297-nucleotide ribosomal RNA is filed under the name uncultured eukaryote. RNAcentral describes it as "partial 18S ribosomal RNA". It matches the Rfam family "Eukaryotic small subunit ribosomal RNA", at positions 1470 to 1795 of the family's 1831-position model. The record is from RNAcentral.
CCCUUAGACACUCUAGGCGGCACGCGCGCUACAAUGGGUGGAAGAACGUGUUACUGCCUCCGAAAGGAGGGGUGAAUCACGAAUUCUUGCCCGUGAAUGGGAUAGUUUGUUGCAAUUUUCGGACUUGAACUAGGAAUCCCUUGUAAACAUGCUCAAGAAUAGCGUGUUGAAUACGUCCCUGCCGUUUGUACACACCGCCCGUCGUUUCUUCCGACUGAUACUCAUUGUGAGUUGCAAGGACCCUUUAUUGGGAAAUUGCUGCAAAUGCUUUGUAUUGGAGGAAGAAAAAGUCGUAAC